UUGAUGAGAGAGGUCAGAGCCUUUGGAACAGAGAAGAAAAAUUCAGUCAGAAAAUCAGUUCUAUAUUUGGAGCAACAACAACAACAAAAAGCCUUUUCAAAGGAAAGCAACUGUCUGCACCAGGAUCCUGUUCCCUGUCCUUGGAAAACACGUGUUAACCCUAUUAGCAGAACAGAAAGGAAAAGCUGAAGUGAAAAGCUCCUCUCCCUUGAUCUCCACAAACACCUUGAAAGCUGUUGACAUGUUUGGAUUAGAGUCUAAGUCUACAGCAUGCUGGAGCUACACAUCUGGCAUUUCUAAUGACACUGUUUCAGGAGACUCGAUAAACUCGGAAUCUUCACCUGAUGAAAGCAGGAGAAAUACAACACAGUGACCUUGCAAUUUCCACAGCCCCAGCCAGCCUAACCUUUGAAAAAUGCAGCACUGAAUUGUUCCACUCCAAACUUGUACAAUUAAGAGGCAAAGUGAAGGUUUUAAACAAAGGAGUGAAGAGUUUACAUGGAAGGAGAAGAAAAAGGUGGUGGAGGAAACAUCCAGAUCAUGGGGUAUCUGUCACAAGUGGUCCUCUAUAAAUGAGGGAAGAGCUGGAAAAGAUCAGUGAAGCAAAAGGAUUGUUAAUAAUGUGAAGGAAGAUAACCAGGGACCUGGAAUGCACCAGUCGUGUUGGACCCCACUGGGGCUGCACAGGAAAACAAGGAUGAAGUUGCUGGGUCCAGCCAAGCCUGAACUGGAGCUGACACAGAUAAACUGCUAAAGCCAAAAAGACAAAACUCUGUGCUUAACAUUUUGAUUUUAAGCAUAAUUGUGUCACCAGGCUUUUCAGCUGCUGUUGUAACUAAUGGUUACGAGCCCACACUGCUCUGAAAAGCCUCUCCGUCUCAGUGUUUCCUGCCCAAGUCAUUCCAUUUGUGAAUUUUUGCUUGCAUUUAGCAUUCAGUGGGAUUUUUUAUUAUUUCAUUUCCCCCUUCUUUCCUCUUCUCCUGAAGGAAAGAAGCAGAGCAGGAGGGUUAUGUGUGAUAAAGACAUGGUUCCUGUUCAUGUCUUAAGACUUUCCCAUGACAAGGGUAGUGCUAUAAAUAUAAAACCCCAAUUAUUUUUAAAACACAAUUUAGCUGAGGAUGAAAUAACUAAAUAAAUUAAGCCUUAUUUCCCUGUAAUACCUACAACUGUGAUGCAGUCUGUAAUUGCAGCAUUUCUCUAGGUCUGUUCACAAGGAAUGUGCAUGUGUUUGAAGUUCACCUUGUUCCUGUUGUGACUAAAAUAUUCUGUGCAAUAAGGAGGUAAAAUAAUUGUAUCAUUUCUGCAAACGAGUCCUGUGUUCAGGAACGAGCUGUGCAGUGGCAGAGAGACCUGCACUCUUUUCUGCAUUCACAGUCUCCCCUCACACUGGUAAUUGGAUGCAGAGCCAUUUCCACACUGUUUUUCCCAUCAGCUUGGAAAGCACCUUCUGUUUUGCCCCUGACAUCAGUCAGUAUGGACAUAUAGUGUGAAGGGCAGCAGGAAUAACAUUGAUCCCUGCUCUGAAUUCCAACAGAGGGGUGUGCUCUGGUGGUAUCUGACUUCCUUAGGAGAAUCCAGCACUGCUGAGCCAAAAUACUGCACGAAACAGCCCAUUGUCCUUUGAUAUCCUGCCAAUUACUGUCAUUGCAGUGGGGAAAAAUAAAAGUCACAAAAAAAGUCUUGGUUUCCAUUCCUUUCCACAAGUUAUAAGCACACAAUGAGUAUUUGAUUGAUUUACGUCAAUCUGCCACUUUAAUCCACAGGA
Molecule: long non-coding RNA, 1765 nt
Organism: Corvus hawaiiensis (hawaiian crow)
Lineage: Eukaryota; Metazoa; Chordata; Aves; Passeriformes; Corvidae
Exons: 4
Source: RefSeq, a predicted model, not a curated record